GGUCAAGCGAACAAGUGCAUGUGGUGGAUGCCUUGGCGAUCACAGGCGAUGAAGGACGCGGUAGCCUGCGAAAAGCUACGGGGAGCUGGCAAACAAGCUUUGAUCCGUAGAUGUCCGAAUGGGGAAACCCACUCCUUCUGGAGUAUCCAUGGCUGAAUACAUAGGCCAUGCGAAGCGAACGCGGUGAACUGAAACAUCUAAGUAACCGCAGGAAAAGAAAUCAACCGAGAUUCCCAAAGUAGUGGCGAGCGAAAUGGGAUGAGCCUUGCACUCUUUAUUUGUAUUGUUAGCCGAACGCUCUGGAAAGUGCGGCCAUAGCAGGUGAUAGCCCUGUAGGCGAAAACAGUAUGAAAGAACUAGGUGUGCGACAAGUAGGGCGGGACACGUGAAAUCCUGUCUGAAGAUGGGGGGACCAUCCUCCAAGGCUAAAUACUCGUGAUCGACCGAUAGUGAACCAGU
RNAcentral lists this ribosomal RNA (459 nucleotides) under Burkholderia cepacia. Its description in RNAcentral is "partial 23S ribosomal RNA". It matches the Rfam family "Bacterial large subunit ribosomal RNA", at positions 1 to 499 of the family's 2925-position model. Lineage: Bacteria; Pseudomonadati; Pseudomonadota; Betaproteobacteria; Burkholderiales; Burkholderiaceae. The record is from RNAcentral.